UGGGGAAUAUUGCACAAUGGGCGAAAGCCUGAUGCAGCGACGCCGCGUGAGGGAUGACGGCCUUCGGGUUGUAAACCUCUUUCAGCAGGGAAGAAGCGAAAGUGACGGUACCUGCAGAAGAAGCGCGGCUAACUACGUGCCAGCAGCCGCGGUAAUACGUAGGGCGCAAGCGUUGUCCGGAAUUAUUGGGCGUAAAGAGCUCGUAGGCGGUUAGUCGCGUCUGCUGUGAAAACUCGAGGCUCAACCUCGGGCUUGCAGUGGGUACGGGCUGACUAGAGUGCAGGUAGGGGUGACUGGAAUUCCUGGUGUAGCGGUGGAAUGCGCAGAUAUCAGGAGGAACACCGAGGCGAAGGCAGGUCACUGGGCCGCAACUGACGCUGAGGAGCGAAAGCAUGGGGAGCGAACAGGAUUAGAUA
RNAcentral lists this ribosomal RNA (416 nucleotides) under uncultured bacterium. Its description in RNAcentral is "partial 16S ribosomal RNA". It matches the Rfam family "Bacterial small subunit ribosomal RNA", at positions 355 to 784 of the family's 1533-position model. The record is from RNAcentral.